UACGUAGGUGGCAAGCGUUGUCCGGAAUUAUUGGGCGUAAAGCGCGCGCAGGUGGUUUCUUAAGUCUGAUGUGAAAGCCCACGGCUCAACCGUGGAGGGUCAUUGGAAACUGGGGAACUUGAGUGCAGGAGAGAAGAGUGGAAUUCCACGUGUAGCGGUGAAAUGCGUAGAGAUGUGGAGGAACACCAGUGGCGAAGGCGGCUGACUGGUCCGGUUCUGACGCUGAGGCGCGAAAGCGUGGGGAGCAAACAGG
RNAcentral lists this ribosomal RNA (253 nucleotides) under uncultured bacterium. RNAcentral's name for it is "partial 16S ribosomal RNA". It matches the Rfam family "Bacterial small subunit ribosomal RNA", at positions 524 to 776 of the family's 1533-position model. The record is from RNAcentral.